Long non-coding RNA from Gasterosteus aculeatus aculeatus (three-spined stickleback), 4072 nucleotides. The record is from Ensembl. NCBI's taxonomy places the organism in Eukaryota, Metazoa, Chordata, Actinopteri, Perciformes, Gasterosteidae.
GCUGCACCGGGGCGGACCGCUCGCCCCGUGACUCCUUCCCCUUUCCUCGCGGUCCCCGCCCCCACCGCGCCGCGCCCCGCCCCCACCGCGACCUCUCCGCGCUGCGCUACACGUCCCCGCGACCACGAUCCUUCAGGCGAGGAGACCCGGGAUCAUGGUCCCGCUCUGCUGCCCGUCAGCGGGCGGCUUUUCAGCAGAACCCACGGGGACCCUGUGGAGAAACGGGAUGCGGAAUCUGUGAGCAGGAGCCGCUGCUUUUUCCUUCACUUGCUUUGGCCUCAACCUCGGGGAUUGUUGCGGGAGGAUGAGCGUGAAGAGGAAGAAGCCUGGGCUGGUCAUCAGCUGGCAGAAGUCCUUCUCCCUCCUGGCUCCUUGGAGGAAAGGGAAAGGAGACAGAGACGCGGUUCUGGACAGAGAGGUUGUUCUGACCAAAAUGAAGCUCUUCAGCAACAUCCACAAGAUGCUUCCGACGGCCGACGACUCGGCCUCCACCAUCUCAACUGUGUCCGUUUCGGAGCAGGACGUCUGUGACCCCAGCAAACCCUCUGAAGUACGUUCCCACCGCGUUGACGAGCCGGGCCGGCUUCAGACGGAGUCCGUCUCACGGCACCCGGCCUCGGACUCUCGGCUGACGAGGUCGUACAAGUUUGAGUCGGAGGACUCUGGAGUGGAGCUGCCCAGCGGCGCGGACUCUCCGUCCACCCCGACGAGCUCUGAGCAGAGCUUCACUGUCCACAGCCGAGAGUCCUCCUGCAACCGGAACUCCGACGCCGGCGCCGCCCCCGAUGACCUGGUGCCACUCACGCAGCUCCCGGAGAGCAAACAGGCGCCGGGCUCAGCGGACGAUGGUGCGAGUGCAGCAGCGGGGGCUCUGAAUGACGGUUUCAUACACUCAGAGGAGCUCAGUUCAGCCGUGGGUGCAGAGCGGCGCGCAGGUGAGGAGGUGGACGGGGACCAGAGCGGGGGGUCGGGAGCCAGCCCUGAGAGAGACGAGGACAUGCCGGGACAGCUUGAGGAAACCUGCGCCGAAACCGAGAGGACCUGCUUCCGAGGAGACGGCAGCCACUUCGAGCCGGCGCCUCGGCGGAGCCGUGAGACCAGAGACAGCCUGGAGGACUACAUGGACCAAUGCUGCAGACUGAGUGAGGCACAGCAAGCGAGUUCCAACCCUCCGGGCUCGGGCCUGGAUUACCUGGAUCACAUCUGCCAACUCAUCGCCAGGAUCGGCCACCUGCAGGAGAACAACCUCCAGCUGCAGCGGCAGAUCUACAGCCUUCAGAAGGACAGCAGGACGGCAAAGACCAAAGAGGACUUUUUCCAGCAUCACUGCAGCUGUGGGGCGGCCUGCUUGUCUUUCCAGGACAUUCAGAAGAGACAGUCCAGAAGUGACUUCUCGUCCCCCAGUGGGACCCUCUCUGACCUGUCCACCAUCCCCGAGGUCACCCGGCCUCCACUCUUACCAGCCCGAGGAGGUAAUGUUAUGACGUGUUUUACUUACUGGAAGGAAAUUAUACAGAAAUACUGGAGAAUAUUAUCAUACACAUGCAAAUGAGAAGUGUUGAGCUGGAAAAACCGUCCUACAAGUGUGAGUUUGAUGGUACAAACCAUGAAUAUUUAGAGAGGGUUGGUUGGUCUAGUAGAUGUGUAAUAAUGCACGUUCCCCCCUCACUUACCUUUGUUAGACUGCAGAUCCCAAGAUGUUGCUUUGGUGGGUUCAUCGUGAUCACAUCUGAUCAGAAUUGAUGGAACCAACGAGCAGCAGCAGGAAAUGCAGGGAUGAAGUUAUUACCAGUAACUUCUCUAUAUGCAACUUACUGUAAUUCAGUAAAGGCACUAGGCUUCGUUCUUUGGUGCACACUGUUUCCCAACCACGAAACAGUCGUUUUCUCUGGAGGUCACUGAAUCCACCCUAAACAAACACACGUGCACGACUGCAUAUUAAUGUUUUCCUGACGUGUUCCUCCAUUGGAUCAGUUACUCCAGGUAUGCUAUUGGAAGGCUCUCGUAGGGCUUAGGUUUCCUGCUAUCAUUAUUGUUUUCGUGGCAGGUCACGGUGGCUGACCGCUGGGUGGUCCUAAGGGGAAAAUUAAAUUAUGACUCAAGUGGGACACGGGGCGGAAUUCCCGGCAUCCCGCUCAGAGUCCACAGGAACAUAUGAUGUCCCGUGGACUCUGGAAUGCCUUCGUUCUUCCUCUCAAAGUCAGGAAACUGGAUCUGGAGAAGAGGUUAAGAAAUCAGGACGGGGUGGGGGGGGCAGAUUAGGUACAAUAAGGGUUAAAUAGCUCUCGCUGGGCCACGGUGAAGUAGAACCAUACAGGGUUAAUUUAGUUCCCAACGGAUAAUACGUGGCGGUUCCUGGUAGAGCCUCUUCUGAAGGUUGCAUCUCAGUUCUCCAUGGACUUGGAGGAAGGCUUACAUUGAUGUGGGAUGUGGCAUUCGCUGACAAACAGGAAGAGGACAUAUAGUACCUUCCUUUCAACAACGCAAAGUGCUGCACAUCAGUGGUCCCCCCCCACCCGGGUCCCGGUGCCGUGGGCACCAAGCCGCACAGGAAGAAUAAAUAACCUUUUUUUCUCCAAAUGACCCAAUUCUCUUCCCAAUUACAAGAACGUGUCCCUUUUGUCACGUGUCAACUGGUUUCCCGACGCCUGCGUGUUUGUGCUGUGGUCCUUGCAGAGCGCCACAGUAUUUGGCGUUAUUCCCUUAGUGAGCUGGAACCACGUCUGUGUGGAGGAAACCUUCUGCUGUCGGGGGAUGUGAAACCUUGUCUUAGAGCACUAAUCUAAGCAGACAGCUCUGACUGGUACUACGAUGGAUCUGUAUCCACUCGCAUCGCCUGCUUUCAAAGAGUUGGAGAUAGAAUAGUGAUGCAUUACAUGCUGUGAACUUGGCCACUUUCGAUGGCUGCUGGUCCCCCACACACUGGGGUCCAACAGCGAUGGACGAUGUUUCAGACAUGAGCGGUGCGGGUUUGACACCCGUCCAACUGUGGAGGACGGGCUUGUACCGGAGGAGUUACACCGAGGGGGAAGAGCCCUUCCUCAGCCACAGCACCGAGGCGCUCUCCAUCCCCCAGCGAAGGCUCAGCGAAAACUGCACAUGGGGACGAGUCAAAGACCUGGUGAGGAAGACUAAGGUGAAGAACCAAAGCCGGCUGCGCCUGAAUUCUGCCUCCCUGGAGAGGUCCUGCCCACAGCUCUACAUGCCUGACGUGGAACCAUUAGAACCCGCUUGCAGAGACAGGAGCUCCAUGAUAGCCUUGGGCCACCACAGCAAACUGGACGUCCCUUGGUUACAAUAAACAUGGAGGAGGGACACGCAUCCGUUCUGGGAGAAUAACCACCACGCACCAUCCAGCAAUCCUCAAGCCAUUAUUUUAUUAAAGGCUGUUGAAGUGGUCCGAUAAAGGAUGGGCUCCGGGAGAGAAGGGACACAUUCUGGGGCUUUACAAUCCACUACAUGAUGCGGCUGCUGCAAUGCUGCCAUUUUUGGGCUAAAAAAAUAAAGAAAAAUUGACUUGAUACACAACUAAGAUUACUCGGAAUGUGCCUCAGUCUGAACACACUUUCAGAAGCUUGUAAACGUUAAAGUUGGCUGGACGUUUUCUUUGGAAUGCACAGUGCAAAAUAUACUAAAUCAAUAUUGUAAAGUUGAUAUUCUCGCUAUCAAAAGAACAUUUCUUGAUCGCUAAGUCACACCCUCAUCUUUGCACAAUGGAUGGAGAACAAACGAUAAUAACACAGAUAACAAUUGUCAUUUGUUUAUGUCAGAGUAACAAACAGCUGGUUGGUUGAUUGGGACAUUGUGAUGCAUUUCAUUUCCAACGUCACACUUGUACCAUUAUGUGGUUUGGAUGUCAGGACUCUACUGCAUGCUAUUGUACUCCAAAACGGGAAAACUGUAAGUAAACUAUUGCAUUUAAGUAGAAUUUUGUAAGACAAUAACUUUUUCUAAUAAGUUAUAUCUGAGGUUUAUCUGCAUGGCGUCAGACAACUAUAUAUGUAUUUUAUGUUUCUGUAUGGAUAUUGCAUUCAUAUUCAAAUGUAUUUUUUAAUAAAAAUUCAAUCCAAAG